AGAGUUUGAUCCUGGCUCAGAUUGAACGCUGGCGGCAUGCUUUACACAUGCAAGUCGAACGGCAGCACGGGGGCAACCCUGGUGGCGAGUGGCGAACGGGUGAGUAAUAUAUCGGAACAUAUCCGGAAGUGGGGGAUAACGUACCGAAAGGUACGCUAAUACCGCAUAUGCCCUGAGGGGGAAAGGAGGGGAUCGUAAGACCUUUCGCUUUCGGAGUGGCCGAUAUCGGAUUAGCUAGUUGGUGAGGUAAAGGCUCACCAAGGCGACGAUCCGUAGCUGGUCUGAGAGGACGACCAGCCACACUGGAACUGAGACACGGUCCAGACUCCUACGGGAGGCAGCAGUGGGGAAUUUUGGACAAUGGGGGAAACCCUGAUCCAGCCAUGCCGCGUGAGUGAAGAAGGCCUUCGGGUUGUAAAGCUCUUUCAGCCGGAAAGAAAGCGCACAGGUUAAUACCUUGUGUGGAUGACGGUACCGGAAGAAGAAGCACCGGCCAACUACGUGCCAGCAGCCGCGGUAAUACGUAGGGUGCGAGCGUUAAUCGGAAUUACUGGGCGUAAAGCGUGCGCAGGCGGUUUUGUAAGACCAAUGUGAAAUCCCCGGGCUUAACCUGGGAACUGCAUAGGUGACUGCAAGGCUAGAGUACGGCAGAGGGGGGUAGAAUUCCACGUGUAGCAGUGAAAUGCGUAGAUAUGUGGAGGAAUACCGAUGGCGAAGGCAGCCCCCUGGGUCGAUACUGACGCUCAUGCACGAAAGCGUGGGGAGCAAACAGGAUUAGAUACCCUGGUAGUCCACGCCCU
This 800-nucleotide ribosomal RNA is filed under the name uncultured bacterium. RNAcentral describes it as "bacterial SSU rRNA". It matches the Rfam family "Bacterial small subunit ribosomal RNA", at positions 8 to 803 of the family's 1533-position model. The record is from RNAcentral.